UUGGUAUUGUUGUAAUGUAGUGUAGGCUAGCCUAGGCCUACGGAUAGUGAAUUUCUGGAUGUUAAAUAGAAAAUACACCGCGGCCGAAUUGGUUCGCGGGCUAAACGGAAUCAUGAGCAUAGUCGUAACUGUGUACUUCGAUGCUAAACUAGCCCCUGCGUUCUAGGCCUACUAUAAUUAUAGCUUACGUCAUAUCGGUAGUGUCAAACCAGCAUAGGCUAGGCCCGGACGCAUUCGGCCUUGACAGUGUAUGUACUGUGGCCUAGGCCUAGCCUAGGCUAGAGAGUGACGUUGAAAGAGUCCAUUAAUGUGAACCAUUAACAUCACAAUUAGCAUCAAAAUAAUACAUAACGUGUACUAAAUAUCUACAUUAAUAAUUAUUCUUACCAACAUCUUGAUCAAAUGGAGAAGAACUACUAAAUAAAGGCAUUUUCUGUGCUAGGCUAUCUCUCAAUAAACUUAUGAUCAAAUUAACUUCUACGCAUGCUCAACAGAAUAUAAAAAUUAGACCUCGUCAUCCACUAAUAUUAGAAUUGUGAUGAAAAUACACAUGAUUAACUUCUUUGCACUCGACGCGGGGUUGACGUGCACGAAAAAUAAUAAAUAAAUGAUCAUCGGUCUUUUAAAAAUGGCAAAGGUCUGAGCAUAACAAUCAUCAAGAGUGGAUAAUGACCUCGAACACAGAUACAACAAUUAACUCCCAAAAGCUCAGAAAGGUGG
This is a long non-coding RNA of Anneissia japonica, 720 nucleotides long. RefSeq lists it as uncharacterized. The record is from RefSeq and is a predicted model, not a curated record. The transcript has 3 exons. NCBI's taxonomy places the organism in Eukaryota, Metazoa, Echinodermata, Crinoidea, Comatulida, Comatulidae.